AUUGAACGCUGGCGGCAGGCCUAACACAUGCAAGUCGAGCGGAGCGGCGGACGGGCGAGUAAUGCCUAGGAAUCUGCCUGGUAGUGGGGGAUAACGUCCGGAAACGGGCGCUAAUACCGCAUACUAUCAGAUGAGCCUAGGUCGGAUUAGCUUGUUGGUGGGGUAAAGGCCUACCAAGGCGACGAUCCGUAACUGGUCUGAGAGGAUGAUCAGUCAAACUGGAACUGAGACACGGUCCAGACUCGAACGGGAGGCAGCAGUGGGGAAUAUUGCACAAUGGGCGCAAGCCUAAUGCAGCCAUGCCGCGUAUGUGAAAAAGGCCUUGGGGAUGUAAAGCACUUUCAGCGGGGAGGCGUUACCCGCAGAAGAAGCACCGGCUAACUCCGUGCCAGCAGCCGCGGUAAUAC
Molecule: ribosomal RNA, 407 nt
Filed under: uncultured bacterium
Lineage: Bacteria
Description: partial 16S ribosomal RNA
Rfam family: Bacterial small subunit ribosomal RNA
Source: RNAcentral